RNAcentral lists this ribosomal RNA (120 nucleotides) under Helianthus annuus (common sunflower). Lineage: Eukaryota; Viridiplantae; Streptophyta; Magnoliopsida; Asterales; Asteraceae. The record is from RNAcentral.
GGUUGCGAUCAUACCAGCACUAAUGCACCAGAUCCCAUCAGAACUUCGCAGUUAAGCGUGCUUGGGCGAGAGUAGUACUAGGAUGGGUGACCCCCUAGGAAGUCCUCGUGUUGCAACCCC